AUGAUGUGCGAGAAGAAGUUGUGCAAGCACAUCAACGUGAGCACCGUGACAGUCAUCCUGGCGCUCACCGAGCAGCACGGCUGUGACUGGCUGAAGAAGGCGUGCAGCGAGUUCCUCGGGUGUCUGGACAACCUGAGAGCAGUGGUGGCCACGGACGGCUUUGAUCAUUUGUGCAGGAGCUGCCCCACUCUUAUGAAGGACAUAAUCCUUGGCGUGCUGCCGGCUAAGUAG
This 231-nucleotide ribosomal RNA is filed under the name Triticum aestivum (bread wheat). Its description in RNAcentral is "partial small subunit ribosomal RNA". Lineage: Eukaryota; Viridiplantae; Streptophyta; Magnoliopsida; Poales; Poaceae. The record is from RNAcentral.